GGAGCUGGUAAUCAGGAUGGCAGUGAGGCAGGCACUUGCUUGCAGAAGAACAGGCCUAGUUUUUUAAGAAGCCACAAAAGUGUCUUUGGAUGAUUAGGAUCUAAGGGGCCAACAGCUUUGCAAUAACAGCAUAAAUAUUGUGGGCUGGAUGGACAGGCACCAAAUGGGGACAUUCCAUCCUGCUGUGUGAUGAGAAAGCUGCCACUUUUGAGGCCUUCCAAAACAAAUCAACACUCCAUAUGCCAGAAGGAAAAGCCCAGGAAAGACCUAUUCCAACUGGAGAUGGAAUACGAAGGGAGAAUGAAACAAAACUGCUCCGCUUAGGGAACUUGGAAAGGAAAUUGAAAAGGCAAGGCACAGGCUGGAAGAAAAUAUUUGAAAAAGAUUUAUGUGAACUUCUUUCUGGAUUAUACAAAAUAUUUUUAGAUAUUCUUACAACUCUAAAAUAAGAUAACUCCUUAAAAAUCUAAAUUCUACCAAAGGAGAGAUAAAGAUGACGAAUACAUUCAAAGAUGCUGAAAAUCACUUAUUUAUUAUUAGGAAGUUACAAGCUAAAGCAUAAUGAGAUACCACUACAACCUACUAAACUGACUAAAAUUAAUCAGACUAACCAGGUGUUGGCAAGAAACAGGGACACUGAGACUCUCACACUGCUGGAAGGAAUGUAAAAUGCUAAAACUUCUUUGGAAAUGAGUUCAGUAACUUUUUAAACAGUUGAAAAUAGACCUAUCAUGCAAACCAGCAAUCCCACUUCCAGGUAUUUAUACAAGGAAAAUGACAACAUAUGCCCACAUAAAGACUUGUGCACAAAUGACCGUAGCAGCUUUGUGAUAAUUGCUAAAAACUAGAAACUUGUCAAGUGUCCAACAGCUAAGGAAAUAGAGACAAACUACAUAAGUUGCUGAAAAAUCACAGCAAAUAAUUAGCUGAGGAAGAGACUCAAAUCUAUCAGAACUGCUUGACUUUUGAUCCUGAGCUUAUGCGCAUCCAGUGGGCAAGUGAGGGUGCAUGGGUUUGUGAAGACUCCAGCAGUAUGAUUGGGGUUGACAUGCAGGCUGGACAUACAGUGGGCCUCGAUUGCUUAGAAGCCAAACUGAACUCACCAAGAAAAGAAGACAGGAGAAACUUCUCAAGAGGAAUAUCUCCAAAUUGCAGGAUCGAAUACCAUAAGAGGAAUUCUGGACUGAAGAGUUAUGAAGUCAUUUCAGACACUUCCAGACAAUUUGUGUUAAUUAAAUUCUCACUGGUUGAGUUCCAUUCUACACUGGAAGAGCAUUUUUCCUGGAAAGGCUCCUCAAAAUGGACACCAUCAAGAGUCACCUCCUCAGUGAAGCCUUCCAUGGUUUCAUACCACCCAUCCCUAUCGGAAUGAAUGUAUCCUUGUUCUCCGUUAUCCCAGUAUUUUGCCUGGGCUUCUGUCACACUACUUUCAAUGUCUAUACCUCAGUUAUCGAAUCGAAAAACAAGAGUCAUCAGUCUCUAAGGUCCUUGCAAGCUUCAAAACUUUAUAUUUUUGUCAAUUACAACUGAAUAAAGCUGAACAACUUAUUAUUUAUGGAUACUUGCUCAAGCACCAUAUAACUCUUUCAGAUAUUUUAAAAGAAUAUGUUUGCAAAAGACUCCAAAUCAAUGUAUUAAAUUGAAAUCCAGUAUCAAAACACCCAUUAAAGUGCUCUUUUGAAAUUGUACAUUUUAUAUCAAUAAAAUUUCAAAAUAUAAAAACCUCUAUUUUACUUGUUGAAUUCUUAGGAAUAAUAACUAAACAGUUUUAAAAUAUUAGUAGAAAGAUGGUGUCUUUGAAAUAAGAAGAAUGGAGUUGGAGCAUAAGUUGCUUCUAGUUGAAUGACCUGGGCAUGAUUUAUCAUGUCUUUGCACCUCAGUUUCCCUAUCUGUAAAAUGGCAGUAAUGCUGACUUUACUUCACUAAGCUGUUGAGUAGAUUAAAUUAGACUGUG
RNAcentral lists this long non-coding RNA (1954 nucleotides) under Homo sapiens (human). RNAcentral describes it as "HSALNT0292455". The record is from RNAcentral. Lineage: Eukaryota; Metazoa; Chordata; Mammalia; Primates; Hominidae.